This 579-nucleotide ribosomal RNA is filed under the name Weissella paramesenteroides. Its description in RNAcentral is "bacterial SSU rRNA". It matches the Rfam family "Bacterial small subunit ribosomal RNA", at positions 49 to 585 of the family's 1533-position model. Lineage: Bacteria; Bacillati; Bacillota; Bacilli; Lactobacillales; Lactobacillaceae. The record is from RNAcentral.
UAAUACAUGCAAGUCGAACGCUUUGUCUUUAANUGAUNUGANGAGCUUGCUCUGAUUUGAUUUUAUCUGACAAAGAGUGGCGAACGGGUGAGUAACACGUGGGUAACCUACCUCUUAGCAGGGGAUAACAUUUGGAAACAAGUGCUAAUACCGUAUAAUACCAACAACCGCAUGGUUGUUGGUUGAAAGAUGGUUCUGCUAUCACUAAGAGAUGGACCCGCGGUGCAUUAGCUAGUUGGUAAGGUAACGGCUUACCAAGGCAAUGAUGCAUAGCCGAGUUGAGAGACUGAUCGGCCACAAUGGGACUGAGACACGGCCCAUACUCCUACGGGAGGCAGCAGUAGGGAAUCUUCCACAAUGGGCGCAAGCCUGAUGGAGCAACGCCGCGUGUGUGAUGAAGGGUUUCGGCUCGUAAAACACUGUUAUAAGAGAAGAACGGCACUGAGAGUAACUGUUCAGUGUGUGACGGUAUCUUACCAGAAAGGAACGGCUAAAUACGUGCCAGCAGCCGCGGUAAUACGUAUGUUCCAAGCGUUAUCCGGAUUUAUUGGGCGUAAAGCGAGCGCAGACGGUUAUUUA